UCAGACACGUCAGAGUUUGAUCCUGGCUCAGGAUGAACGCUAGCUACAGGCUUAACACAUGCAAGUCGAGGGGCAGCAUGAUCGAAGCUUGCUUUGAUUGAUGGCGACCGGCGCACGGGUGAGUAACACGUAUCCAACCUUCCGGUAACUCCGGUAUAGCCUUUCGAAAGAAAGAUUAAUCCCGGAUAGUAUGGUGAUUCCGCAUGGUUUCUCCAUUAAAGGAUUCCGGUUACCGAUGGGGAUGCGUUCCAUUAGGCAGUUGGCGGGGUAACGGCCCACCAAACCUACGAUGGGUAGGGGAACUGAGAGGUUUAUCCCCCACAUUGGUACUGAGACACGGACCAA
Molecule: ribosomal RNA, 345 nt
Filed under: uncultured bacterium
Lineage: Bacteria
Description: bacterial SSU rRNA
Rfam family: Bacterial small subunit ribosomal RNA
Source: RNAcentral